This 605-nucleotide ribosomal RNA is filed under the name uncultured Ascomycota. RNAcentral describes it as "eukaryotic LSU rRNA". The stretch from base 219 to 372 matches the Rfam family "5.8S ribosomal RNA". The record is from RNAcentral. Lineage: Eukaryota; Fungi; Ascomycota.
CUUGGUCAUUUAGAGGAAGUAAAAGUCGUAACAAGGUCUCCGUUGGUGAACCAGCGGAGGGAUCAUUACCGAGUUUACAACUCCCAAACCCCUGUGAACAUACCUAUACGUCGCCUCGGCGGGAACAGACGGCCCCGUAACACGGGCCGCCCCCGCCAGAGGACCCCCUAACUCUGUUUCUAUAAUGUUUCUUCUGAGUAAACAAGCGAAUAAAUUAAAACUUUCAACAACGGAUCUCUUGGCUCUGGCAUCGAUGAAGAACGCAGCGAAAUGCGAUAAGUAAUGUGAAUUGCAGAAUUCAGUGAAUCAUCGAAUCUUUGAACGCACAUUGCGCCCGCCAGUAUUCUGGCGGGCAUGCCUGUUCGAGCGUCAUUACAACCCUCAGGCCCCCGGGCCUGGCGUUGGGGAUCAGCGGAAGCCCCCUGCGGGCACAACGCCGUCCCCCAAAUACAGUGGCGGUCCCGCCGCAGCUUCCAUUGCGUAGUAGCUAACACCUCGCAACUGGAGAGCGGCGCGGCCACGCCGUAAAACACCCAACUUCUGAAUGUUGACCUCGAAUCAGGUAGGAAUACCCGCUGAACUUAAGCAUAUCAAUAAGCGGAGGA